GACGAACGCUGGCGGCGUGCUUAACACAUGCAAGUCGAACGAGGAAGCCUAGCUUGCUAGGUGGAUUAGUGGCGAACAGGUGAGUAAUACGUGAGUAACCUACCUUUAACUCUGGGAUAAGCCUGGGAAACUGGGUCUAAUACCGGAUACGACCAAUCUCCGCAUGGGGUGUUGGUGGAAAGCGUUAUGUAGUGGUUAUAGAUGGGCUCACGGCCUAUCAGCUUGUUGGUGAGGUAACGGCUCACCAAGGCGACGACGGGUAGCCGGCCUGAGAGGGUGACCGGCCACACUGGGACUGAGACACGGCCCAGACUCCUACGGGAGGCAGCAGUGGGGAAUAUUGCACAAUGGGCGCAAGCCUGAUGCAGCGACGCCGCGUGAGGGAUGACGGCCUUCGGGUUGUAAACCUCUGUUAGCAGGGAAGAAGAGAGAUUGACGGUACCUGCAGAGAAAGCGCCGGCUAACUACGUGCCAGCAGCCGCGGUAAUACGUAGGGCGCGAGCGUUGUCCGGAAUUAUUGGGCGUAAAGAGCUUGUAGGCGGUUUGUCGCGUCUGCUGUGAAAGGCCGGAGCUUAACUCCGUGUAUUGCAGUGGGUACGGGCAGACUAGAGUGCAGUAGGGGAGACUGGAAUUCCUGGUGUAGCGGUGGAAUGCGCAGAUAUCAGGAGGAACACCGAUGGCGAAGGCAGGUCUCUGGGCUGUAACUGACGCUGAGAAGCGAAAGCAUGGGGAGCGAACAGG
This 741-nucleotide ribosomal RNA is filed under the name Rothia mucilaginosa. RNAcentral describes it as "bacterial SSU rRNA". It matches the Rfam family "Bacterial small subunit ribosomal RNA", at positions 28 to 776 of the family's 1533-position model. The record is from RNAcentral. Lineage: Bacteria; Bacillati; Actinomycetota; Actinomycetes; Micrococcales; Micrococcaceae.